This 26-nucleotide ribosomal RNA is filed under the name Vanilla planifolia. Its description in RNAcentral is "partial 26S ribosomal RNA". Lineage: Eukaryota; Viridiplantae; Streptophyta; Magnoliopsida; Asparagales; Orchidaceae. The record is from RNAcentral.
GACCCCAUGUUAGGUGAGGUAACCCG